GUUUUUUUUUUUUUUUUUUGGUUUUGUUUUGUUUUAAGGGGGAGAGAGAGAGAGAGAGAGAGAGAGAGAGAGAUGAAAAGGGUGUGUGUUGUAAGGUAAGAGAUGGCUCUCUCUUUUUCCUUUUGCAGAUGUGGGGCAGAGAGAGAGAGGGAGGUUAGAGAACGGCAAUGGGGUUUACUGCACUUUCUAUAUCGUGUGUGUGAGUGUGUGUGGGAGGGAUUGAUAGAGAGGUGUGGAGAGAGAUUAGUAGAGAAACAUCAAUGGGGCUUUCUGGAGCAUUUUAUCCUGCUGGUGUUGCAGAGCGAGAGAGAGAGAGAG
Molecule: long non-coding RNA, 318 nt
Organism: Magnolia sinica
Lineage: Eukaryota; Viridiplantae; Streptophyta; Magnoliopsida; Magnoliales; Magnoliaceae
Exons: 2
Source: RefSeq, a predicted model, not a curated record